Molecule: long non-coding RNA, 1689 nt
Organism: Equus caballus (horse)
Lineage: Eukaryota; Metazoa; Chordata; Mammalia; Perissodactyla; Equidae
Source: Ensembl
AGUGCUCCUAUUAGAAGAGACAUCAGAGAGCUUGCUUGCCCUCUCUCUCUCUCUCCACCAUGUGAGAACACAGUGAAAAGGCAUCUGCAAGUCAGGAAGAAAGCUUUCACCAGAAACCAACCACAUGGGUACCCUCCAGCCUCCAGAACUGUGAGAAAACAAAUUUCUGCAGUUUAAGCCCCCCAGUCUAAGUUAUUUUGUUAUGGCAGCCCAAGAAGACUAAGAUCUGUAUCAUGAAACUGUUCAACUUCCAGAAGCAUAUUCAUGCAGAAAUCUAAGAAGCGUGAAAUAGCAAAGAGCACUCCAAUAACAGCAACUCUAACGCUGCUCUUGAAUCCCACUCCUGGGCACAAGACCAGGCUCUUUAGAAAGGCUGGUCGACUCUGGAAAUUGCAUAACAACCUGAAGUAAAAAGAUGCCCUUUGCUGAUUGUGCACUUAGCUCAGUAACAAGAUGGAUACCUGGAGAGUAUUUUCAUCAUUACUCCAACUAAAGCGUUCAGAGAGGAUGCUUCUAAAAUUUUACCUUCAAAAUUAGCAAUAGAAGGGUGACAUCAGCAAGAUGGUGAAACAGUAAGCCCCGGACUCUCCUCUUCCCAUGGAGAAGCCAGCUCAACAACAAUACAUGGACCAAUUACUUUUAUGAGAAAAUUCAGAAACCACUUGAGAGGCUCCCGCACCCAAGUGCUGAAGGCCAGAAGUCUGAAAUCAUUUUCACUGGCCCCAAAUCACCGUGUCAGCAGGACUGUGCUCCUCUCAGAGUCUCUAGAGGAGAAUCCCUUCCUUGCCUUUUCCAGCUCCUCGGGGCUUCCAGCUUUUCUUGGCCCAUGGCUGCAUCUCUCCAAUCUUCAAGUCACACCAAUGGAUGGAAAGGAAGACCACUGGAUAAAAGCAGCGAAGAAAACGGCAUCGCGAAUAGGAUUUAAGAUCAACAAAGCUGGGAAAUGAACAGAAAGAUAUGGAAAGCCUUCAUUGGUCUUCAUCACUGCUGCUAAGCUGACAGAUAAUUGAAUAACUUUUAGUCACUGUGCUGGGUUGGAAGGACACAAACAUAAAGAUUCCCUAUACUCUCCAAGAUUGCUUUCACGAUCAGACAGACCUACUACAUAGCAGUUACAGUGCAAUGUGAAGAAAUGCCUGCAAUCUGACAGGUCUUCUGCACAGUGGGGAUGCUUGGGGUCUCUGAUUGUUCUACUUGUAACUGGCUCAGGGAGGAAGUCUCAUGUCUGCUUUACACGGUGUCCACUGGAGUGACUUGACUGGGGGCUAGUGGAUCCAUUUCCAGGAUGUCUCACUCACAAGGCUCACAAGUUGCUUCUGAUUGUUUUUACGAGGCUCCACAGGGGUUGAGGUCCAGGGACUUUACUUUUCCAUAUGCACCUCUCUGUAAGCUACUUGAACAUUCUCACAAAAUGACGGCUGGGUUUCAUGAGCUAGUGUUCCAAAAAACAGGAAGUUGCUGCUAGUUCUUUUGGUUUUGUUGUUUUUAUUUUUGUUUUUUUUUAAAGUCCUGGGCCUGGAAACUGACACAGUCUCACUCUGCUGCAUUACAUUGAUCAGUUAGUUACAGAACUCAGAUUUGAGAGAAGACAUAGACCACUAUAUUGAGUGGGAGGAGUAUUAAAGAAUUUUGAGGAAUGUGGUAAAACUGUCAGUUUCAUCAAUGGAAAUAGUUUCAUGGUUUUUAUUU